This 350-nucleotide ribosomal RNA is filed under the name uncultured Bacteroidota bacterium. RNAcentral's name for it is "bacterial SSU rRNA". It matches the Rfam family "Bacterial small subunit ribosomal RNA", at positions 1036 to 1389 of the family's 1533-position model. The record is from RNAcentral. Lineage: Bacteria; Pseudomonadati; Bacteroidota.
AGGUGCUGCAUGGUUGUCGUCAGCUCGUGCCGUGAGGUGUUGGGUUAAGUCCCGCAACGAGCGCAACCCCUAUCUACAGUUGCUAGCAGGUAAUGUGGGACUCUAGGGAGACUGCCGGCGUAAGCCGGAGGAAGGUGGGGACGACGUCAAAUCAUCAUGGCCUUUAUGCCUGGGCGACACACGUGCUACAAUGGCGAUACAGAGGGCAGCCAGACCGCGAGGUUGAGCGAAUCCCACAAAGUACGUCCCAGUUCGGAUCGAAGUCUGCAACCCGACUUCGUGAAGGCGGAAUCGCUAGUAAUCGCGCAUCAGCCAUGGCGCGGUGAAUACGUUCCCGGACCUUGUACACA